RNAcentral lists this ribosomal RNA (253 nucleotides) under uncultured bacterium. RNAcentral describes it as "partial 16S ribosomal RNA". It matches the Rfam family "Bacterial small subunit ribosomal RNA", at positions 524 to 776 of the family's 1533-position model. The record is from RNAcentral.
GACGAACCGUGCGAACGUUGUUCGGAAUCACUGGGCUUAAAGGGUGCGUAGGCGGGUUGUCCAGUCUGGGGUGAAAUCCCACGGCUCAACCGUGGAAUUGCCUCAGAUACUGACGGCCUCGAGGGAGGGAGGGGCGAGCGGAACUGUGGGUGGAGCGGUGAAAUGCGUUGAUAUCCACAGGAACUCCGGUGGCGAAGGCGGCUCGCUGGACCUCUUCUGACGCUGAGGCAAGAAAGCUAGGGGAGCAAACAGG